Molecule: non-coding RNA, 73 nt
Organism: Parelaphostrongylus tenuis
Lineage: Eukaryota; Metazoa; Nematoda; Chromadorea; Rhabditida; Metastrongylidae
Source: the annotation of a GenBank genome assembly
GCCUCGGUGGUGUAGUGGUAGAGCACGCGUCCCCGGAUAGGACAAAACGCGGGUUCGAGUCCCGCCUAAGGCC